This 1742-nucleotide long non-coding RNA is filed under the name Anas platyrhynchos platyrhynchos (common mallard). RNAcentral describes it as "lncRNA (ENSAPLG00000021547.1)". Lineage: Eukaryota; Metazoa; Chordata; Aves; Anseriformes; Anatidae. The record is from RNAcentral.
CCACUCCUUCACUGACAUCAACUGCGUCCAUUCUUUUUCACACAUGAAAUCCAUUUAUUUACUUAUUUAUUUUUGUCUUGAAGUCUGGCUCUGCAAAUGGCAGCAGGUCAGGAAGUGCUGCAGGAGAUGGUCUGCUGCUGCAGUGACAGCCAGCCACCCCUGUUCAAGUCUCUGUCUCAUGAAUCUUUGUUUAAAAUGGCUUAAAGAGGCUUUUGGCCAUCUGAACUUCCACAGUUUAUGAAAGUUUCUGCUGUGUGACACAAUACACGAUUUUACUGAAAAAAAUGGCAAUGCAAAGGAUAGCUGAAAAGCAACCAAUCACCAUUAUGUCAGUUUCACUGACUUAUCCUUACUACAUGACCCUUUCUCUUCUGGAUAUGUAGAUAAUUCUAUUUACUCUUUUGUAUUAUGUUCUGUCUUCAAGCAAAUGUUUGAGCAAAAACCUUGGAAAUGAAUGCAGCUAUGGUCACACGUACCUUACUAAAUCAAACAUAUACUUCUAUUUGGGAUAAACUACAUUUUGAGUUGCAACACUGCCCUGGACACUAUGGCUGUUCAGUGAUAGUUACUGCUAUGAAAUGCUUUCUCUGAUCUUUCAGGACUGCAGGAUCCCAUCAAUCAUCAGGGAAAGUGCUGAAGUUUAGAUUCAAAAUUACUUUGCACUGACAGUUUAAAUUAAAUAUGUCUUCGUUAUCCUGAAUGGUACACAAACAAGCCUCCAUAAUUUCCUAUUAAAAAUCUUUUUGUUUCUGCUUCUCUUUUCAUAGAGUCAUAGAAUGGUUUGGAUUGGAAGAGACCUUAAUGAUCACCUACUCCAGCCCUCCUGGCACGGGCAGGGUCACCUCCCACUAGAAAUUUAUUUUAUUCAUGCCUACCAUCACUUGUCCUGCAUCUGAAUCAAGUUCAGUGCCAAAUAUUUGAUAUGUCCCCUGCGAGAUCUGCUGCAUGCAGCUUGGUGUGAUGCAAAUGCUGAACAAGGUGCGUCCAGGGCUCCAGGUGAACAGAGCAGGCAGUCCUGCCUUGGUGGUUCCUACCCUUCGCAGAAAGGCUCCUUGCGUGCCUCACCAGGCUCCUCUGGUAAUGAUGCAGCCCUGUACUUCAAUGGCACCAUUAACCUGGAAAUCCUCCAGCAUUUUAAAGAGGAAGCCUCUUAUUUUACACUUACAGUGUUUCUGUUGGGCCUUGAAGACUAAGCAAUCCAACAAGAAAAUAUUAUUGGUCAUGAGGCAGCGCUUGAUCACCAACAAAUCACAUGUAUGUAGCUCAUGCCUAGACUGUGUAUUGCCCUAAAUAAUUGCUAACCUUUCAUUUCUUAAUCUCUUGAGGAAGGGGUGUUCUCACUGAGAGAAAUGCAUCCUGUGUACCUAUCAAGCCGUUUCAUUUCCUUCUUGAGAGCCUUACUCUCUGUGCUCUUUCUAUUGUUAGACAUGGACUGGAAAGACAGAAGUAGACAGGACAGCCAUUUGCAGCUGUUGGAGGAAUCCUUGGCCCAUACUAGCAGCAGCAGUAAGGGGUCUCUCAGAACCUCAGUUUUUAUUUUUCUAAAAAAGGAGGUAUAGGUGGGUGGGAAUAAUGCAGAGCACCCACUGGGCUCUGGCAAGGAGCUAUUGAGUGCUGCGCUAGGUACAGAUGUGUGCUUAUAGCUGCUCUGCAAAGACACUGAGCACGCUGUGCACAAUCCACUGAUGCUUUUGCAGUCCAGGCAAGGAUGGAAUUAAUAAAUGAUGAAGAAGCAAAUUUCA